RNAcentral lists this ribosomal RNA (253 nucleotides) under uncultured bacterium. RNAcentral's name for it is "partial 16S ribosomal RNA". It matches the Rfam family "Bacterial small subunit ribosomal RNA", at positions 524 to 776 of the family's 1533-position model. The record is from RNAcentral.
UACGAAGGGGGCUAGCGUUGCUCGGAAUCACUGGGCGUAAAGCGCACGUAGGCGGCUUCUUAAGUCCGGGGUGAAAUCCUGGAGCUCAACUCCAGAACUGCCUUUGAUACUGAGGAGCUUGAGUCCGGGAGAGGUGAGUGGAACUGCGAGUGUAGAGGUGAAAUUCGUAGAUAUUCGCAAGAACACCAGUGGCGAAGGCGGCUCACUGGCCCGGUACUGACGCUGAGGUGCGAAAGCGUGGGGAGCAAACAGG